Acyrthosiphon pisum (pea aphid) is the source of this 1189-nucleotide long non-coding RNA. RefSeq lists it as uncharacterized. The transcript has 6 exons. The record is from RefSeq and is a predicted model, not a curated record. NCBI's taxonomy places the organism in Eukaryota, Metazoa, Arthropoda, Insecta, Hemiptera, Aphididae.
AAUAACGUCGUCGAGUAGGUGAUAAUGAUUUGUGAUAAUGAUUAUGAUACGGCUUGGCGGCUUUGCGAGAAUGUUCAGAUUUUUAACUGUAGGAGACGUUGCCGUUUCCCGUUUCAUGUCUGUCGACCGGUGCCUUUUCGUUUGUGAAACAAUGUCACUUCAUGUGAAAUUCGAUGUACGUUAAAUCAUGACUAAAUAAACAGGCAUGUCAGCUAAAAUGUCAUUUUCGCUAUCGUCGCGCAUGUUCCCCAGACAUGGAAAGAAUAAUAUAAAAUGUAUAAUGUAGAUUAUUAUUAUAGCGUACAAUAUUUUAGCGUUUAUUCCAAGUCUGGGGAACAUUUUAUCACAAUUUUAUGUGCAGUGUUAUCGAGCUGACAUGCCUGUUUAUUUAGUCAUGCGUUAAACCAAGUCAGGUAGGCACUCCUAUUGCGUCGAUCACGUACAAUGUACAACUGCGUAUCAGGCAUAAUUUUAGUGGCUAACAAAUACAAAGUCAAAAUGAUGCAGAAAAAUUACAAAUUUGUAAAGAGAAAGUUUACUUGAAUCAUUUCAUGAAAGGAUACCUAUAGUAGGAUAAUAGAAAUGAGAAAAAAUGUAAGAUGUUAAAAAAUCUUUACAAAAAUAACUUACAGACUCGAAAGAAGCUGUUAAUUAUUAUGAACCCGAAAAAGUUGGCAUCAAAGAGCAUGAGAUAGUUAAGAAAAACUUUAUGUCUUGAUUACUGGCUACACGAAUAUGUUUGUUCUAGAAUUUAUGGAUUAGGAACAAAAUUGCCAUGAGACGAAUAUUGGUUGAUUGAGUCUCUAUAAGAUUUCAUAAAAACUAUUUAUUAACACCAAGAAGGACAAAAUGGAACAGUUAUAACAUCUAUAUACUUGAUUUCUAAAUUGGAUGGAAAUUUUAUGAAAUUAGAUGAAGCAAUAAAUACAUUUAGUACUGUUGCUAUGAGAUUUUCCAUUUCAGUGAAAUGUGAACAAUUUAACUUGAGAUCACAUUCUGAACAAUAAUAGCAAUUUUAUUGACUAUAUGAUGAACUAUAUGAACAUGACAUUUUUUCGCGGAUAAACUUGAAGGAUGGCCCUUAAUGUGUUCUGAAUUUUAAAUAUUUCAAAACUGAAAAUUUCGCUCUUCUUGAAAUAUUUCAAUGAAAUCAUGGCAAUAGUGGACUAGUGGGUGUCGCUCUGCUGUA